GAUCAAGCGAAUAUGUGCAUGUGGUGGAUGCCUUGGCGAUCACAGGCGAUGAAGGACGUGCAAGCCUGCGAAAAGCGGGGGGGAGCUGGCAAUGGAGCUUUGAUCCCCCGAUCUCCGAAUGGGGAAAC
Molecule: ribosomal RNA, 128 nt
Filed under: uncultured beta proteobacterium
Lineage: Bacteria; Pseudomonadati; Pseudomonadota; Betaproteobacteria
Description: partial 23S ribosomal RNA
Rfam family: Bacterial large subunit ribosomal RNA
Source: RNAcentral